AGGCCACCAAGAAGGAGGUCAAGGACAUCUUUCGGCCGCUAUGACCGCACCCUCCUCGUCGCCGACCCCAGGCGCUGCGAGCCCAAGAAGUUUGGUGGGCGCGGAGGGGUCGGGCGAGAUAGGCCAACAAGUGCACUUGAAUGCUGGAUCUAGGCAAAUGCUUCCAUACUAGGAACAAUACUCUAAUGAAACAUCGAGUUGCUCCAGAACAAUAACAAUGCACAAGACGGAAUUUUCUGACCCAAAUCUUAAGCUGGCCAUCAGAUUUUAACUCAGGAGAGCUGCAUGUUAUAUUGAAAAGUAGGAAACGCCCAGAGGGGCGAAGGUAAAAUUUACAAGGCAGAACAAGAAAAACGGAGCUCCAACAGCUGCCAAGUGGGAUUAAUAUGUUUGAUCUUGCUAAUAUUGACAUAGUGUACUGGUCAACUCCAUUGAGGGUGCGGCAAAGCCGCGCUGUGUUUCUAGUAUAUACUUAUUAUCAUUUGAAUGGACAACACACAAUCAGGAGCUAGCACAAGUGCA
This is a long non-coding RNA of Panicum virgatum (switchgrass), 522 nucleotides long. RefSeq lists it as uncharacterized. The transcript has 3 exons. The record is from RefSeq and is a predicted model, not a curated record. NCBI's taxonomy places the organism in Eukaryota, Viridiplantae, Streptophyta, Magnoliopsida, Poales, Poaceae.